UCAAGCUAAUAAGAGCACAGGGUGAAUGCCUUGGCACCAGGAGCCGAAGAAGGACGCGAUAAGCUGCGAUAAGCUACGGUGAGACGCAAAUAGUCUAUGAUCCGUAGAUUUCCGAAUGGGGAAACCCACAUGAGGUAAAUACUCAUGUAUCAUACAGUGAAUCCAUAGCUGUAUAGAGGGGAGACGUGGGGAACUGAAACAUCUAAGUACCCACAGGAAAAGAAAUCAAUUGAGAUUCCGCAAGUAGUGGCGAGCGAACGCGGAAGAGGCCAAACCAAAGGACUUCGGUUCUUUGGGGUUGCGGACCGGCAGAAUGAUUCACAAAGUCUAGCAGAAUGAGCGGUUGGAAAACCGAGUCCAAAGAGGGUAAAAGUCCCGUAUGCGAAAGAUAGAGUGACAGGCCGGAAUCCAGAGUACCACGAGACACGAGAAAUCUUGUGGGAAGCCGGGAGGACCACCUUCCAAGCCUAAAUACUACCUGGUGACCGAUAGUGGAGCAGUACCGUGAGGGAAAGGUGAAAAGAACCCCGGGAGGGGAGUGAAAGAGAACCUGAAACCUUGUGCUUACAAACAGUCGAAGGACGUUAAAGUCUGACGGCGUACUUUUUGUAGAACGGUCCGGCGAGUUAUUGUAUAUGGCAAGGUUAAGUGCUUAAGGCAUGGAGCCGCAGCGAGAGCGAGUCUUAAUAGGGCGUAAGUCAUGUGCAAUAGACCCGAAACCGGGUGACCUAUCCAUGGACAGGCUGAAGUUGGAGUAAAAUCCAAUGGAGGGCCGUACCCACUCCCGUUGAAAAGGUAGGGGAUGAGCUGUGGAUAGGGGAGAAAUUCCAAUCGAACUCGGAGAUAGCUGGUUCUCCUCGAAAUAGCUUUAGGGCUAGCCUCAGAGUAAGACUAAUGGAGGUAGAGCACUGAUCGAGCUAGGGGCCCAACAAGGUUACCGAACUCUUUCAAACUCCGAAUGCCAUUAGUUAUAUCUCUGGGAGUCAGACUGCGGGGGAUAAGCUCCGUAGUCGAAAGGGAAACAGCCCAGACCGACAGCUAAGGUCCCCAAGUGCGAACUAAGUGGAAAAGGAUGUGGAACUGCACAGACAACCAGGAUGUUGGCUUAGAAGCAGCCACUCAUUUAAAGAGUGCGUAAUAGCUCACUGGUCAAGUGGUUCUGCGCCGAAAAUGUAACGGGGCUCAAGUUCGCCACCGAAGCUUCGGAAUCGUUGAUUUAUUCAGCGGUUGGUAGAGGAGCGUUCCAACAGCGUAGAAGGUAGACCGAAAGGACUGCUGGAGUGGUUGGAAGUGAGAAUGCCGGUAUUAGUAGCGAUAAGGAAGGUGAGAAUCCUUCCCGCCGAAAACCUAAGGAUUCCUGAGGAAGGUUCGUCCGCUCAGGGUAAGUCGGGACCUAAGGCGAGGCCGAAAGGCGUAGUCGAUGGACAACAGGUUGAAAUUCCUGUACCACCGAGGAUCAUUUGAGUGAAGUGGUGACACAGAAGGGUAGGUCAUCAUCCUGAUGGAUGGGUGUCCAAGCGAGUAGGGAGCAAGGUAGGCAAAUCCGCCUUGCAUGAAUCCCAAGACGUGAUGGGGAAGCGAAAUAAGUAGCCGAACUGAUUGAUCCCAUGCUGUCAAGAAAAGCCACUAGCGAGAUUGUAGGUGCCCGUACCGCAAACCGACACAGGUAGGUAAGGAGAGAAUCCUAAGGCGCGCGAGAGAACCCCUGUUAAGGAACUCGGCAAAAUGACUCCGUAACUUCGGGAUAAGGAGUGCCUUUGUAGUGUGACAUUGAACAAAUGAAGCAUGAAGAGGCCGCAGAGAAAUGGCCCAAGCGACUGUUUAUCAAAAACACAGGUCUCUGCUAAGUGGAAACACGAAGUAUAGGGGCUGACGCCUGCCCAAUGCCGGAAGGUUAAGAGGAGAGGUCAAUUGUCGUAAGACGAUGAAGCUUCGAAUCGAAGCCCCGGUCAAUGGCGGCCGUAACUAUAACGGUCCUAAGGUAGCGAAAUUCCUUGUCGGGUAAGUUC
This 2009-nucleotide ribosomal RNA is filed under the name fermentation metagenome. RNAcentral's name for it is "bacterial LSU rRNA". It matches the Rfam family "Bacterial large subunit ribosomal RNA", at positions 3 to 1983 of the family's 2925-position model. The record is from RNAcentral.